UUGCGGCGUGCUUAACACAUGCAAGUCGAACGGAAAGGCCCUGCUUUUGUGGGGUGCUCGAGUGGCGAACGGGUGAGUAACACGUGAGUAACCUGCCCUUGACUUUGGGAUAACUUCAGGAAACUGGGGCUAAUACCGGAUAGGAGCUCCUGCUGCAUGGUGGGGGUUGGAAAGUUUCGGCGGUUGGGGAUGGACUCGCGGCUUAUCAGCUUGUUGGUGGGGUAGUGGCUUACCAAGGCUUUGACGGGUAGCCGGCCUGAGAGGGUGACCGGCCACAUUGGGACUGAGAUACGGCCCAGACUCCUACGGGAGGCAGCAGUGGGGAAUAUUGCACAAUGGGCGGAAGCCUGAUGCAGCAACGCCGCGUGCGGGAUGACGGCCUUCGGGUUGUAAACCGCUUUCGCCUGUGACGAAGCGUGAGUGACGGUAAUGGGUAAAGAAGCACCGGCUAACUACGUGCCAGCAGCCGCGGUGAUACGUAGGGUGCGAGCGUUGUCCGGAUUUAUUGGGCGUAAAGGGCUCGUAGGUGGUUGAUCGCGUCGGAAGUGUAAUCUUGGGGCUUAACCCUGAGCGUGCUUUCGAUACGGGUUGACUUGAGGAAGGUAGGGGAGAAUGGAAUUCCUGGUGGAGCGGUGGAAUGCGCAGAUAUCAGGAGGAACACCAGUGGCGAAGGCGGUUCUCUGGGCCUUUCCUGACGCUGAGGAGCGAAAGCGUGGGGAGCGAACAGGCUUAGAUACCCUGGUAGUCCACGCUGUAAACGGUGGGUACUAGGUGUGGGGUCCAUUCCACGGGUUCCGUGCCGUAGCUAACGCUUUAAGUACCCCGCCUGGGGAGUACGGCCGCAAGGCUAAAACUCAAAGGAAUUGGCGGGGCCCCGCACAAGCGGCGGAGCAUGCGGAUUAAUUCGAUGCAACGCGUAGAACCUUACCUGGGUUUGACAUGGAUCGGGAGUGCUCAGAGAUGGGUGUGCCUCUUUUGGGGUCGGUUCACAGGUGGUGCAUGGCUGUCGUCAGCUCGUGUCGUGAGAUGUUGGGUUAAGUCCCGCAACGAGCGCAACCCUUGUUCACUGUUGCCAGCACGUUAUGGUGGGGACUCAGUGGAGACCGCCGGGGUCAACUCGGAGGAAGGUGGGGAUGACGUCAAGUCAUCAUGCCCCUUAUGUCCAGGGCUUCACGCAUGCUACAAUGGCUGGUACAGAGAGUGGCGAGCCUGUGAGGGUGAGCGAAUCUCGGAAAGCCGGUCUCAGUUCGGAUUGGGGUCUGCAACUCGACCUCAUGAAGUCGGAGUCGCUAGUAAUCGCAGAUCAGCAACGCUGCGGUGAAUACGUUCCCGGGGCUUGUACACACCGCCCGUCAAGUCAUGAAAGUUGGUAACACCCGAAGCCGGUGGCCUAACCGUUGUGGGGGAGCCGUCGAAGGUGGGACUGGUGAUUAGGACUAA
Molecule: ribosomal RNA, 1440 nt
Filed under: uncultured organism
Description: partial small subunit ribosomal RNA
Rfam family: Bacterial small subunit ribosomal RNA
Source: RNAcentral